RNAcentral lists this small nuclear RNA (107 nucleotides) under Phocoena sinus (vaquita). The record is from RNAcentral. Lineage: Eukaryota; Metazoa; Chordata; Mammalia; Artiodactyla; Phocoenidae.
GUGCUAGCUUCUGCAGCACAUAUACUAAUAUUAGAAAGAUACAGAGAAGUUUAGCAUGACCCCUGCACAAGGAUGACAUGCAAAUUCAUGAAGCAUUCCUUUUUUUU